Long non-coding RNA from Balaenoptera ricei (Rice's whale), 323 nucleotides. RefSeq lists it as uncharacterized. The transcript is spliced from 3 exons. The record is from RefSeq and is a predicted model, not a curated record. Lineage: Eukaryota; Metazoa; Chordata; Mammalia; Artiodactyla; Balaenopteridae.
GUUAUGUAAGCGCCAGUGACAGGAGCGGGCCUCCAGCGGCGGAGUUGAAAGUGGGGGACAGCGGGGGACCGAAAGGCCGGGAAUUCAAAGAGGUCAGACGCCAUCUCUAUGAAGCUCCUUCUGAUCACCUAGCAGAGAAGGGAGCUCAUUUUCUCCUUCAGUAGCCAUUUCUUCUAAGAGGAUUAGGAGAAACCUCAGAGGAUGUGGCAUCUGAGUUGAUUGUGAAGAGGGUUAUUGUGAGGUUUAAAUGAAAAGCCUUCCAUAAAGUGCCCAGGAAGAUACCAGCAAAACAGCAGGCACUGAAAUGACACACAGACUAUUCU